CCUUGGGCUGCUCUUUUGCCCCAGCUGAUCCCCUCGCUCCCCCCAGAGGCUGGAGGCCCAUCAGGGCAUCUCCCACCUCCGCGCCCUCCUGGGCCACUCCCGGGACCGUGGUCGUUCUUCCUGCGAAUCUCUUCGCCUUCCUCAACCAGGGGCUCAGGUGUCCCGCCCCCCCAUGCGUGUCCGACACAGCGAGGAGAACGAUGAGACUCCCUACAAUCUGGCCGUCUGCUUCGGCCCCGCGGCGGCCCCCCCGGCCUGGACCCCGUCUCCACCCAGCCCAUGCCACAGAGGCAGUGAAGUGCCUGAUCCUGCACCCCGUUAGGACCGCGCUUCCCGCCCCCCGGCGCCCUGCCGGCUCCCUCUACGAGUGGAGCGCGGCGCCGCCCCACGAAGCGACAGGUGAGACGGCUGUCCCGGACCCCGCAGCUGGAGGAGAGCGAGGGGGACGGUGCCCCCCGAGCAUCGGCCAGCGGGAGUGACCCAGAGGGCCCCC
Non-coding RNA from Chelonoidis abingdonii (Abingdon island giant tortoise), 493 nucleotides. Lineage: Eukaryota; Metazoa; Chordata; Testudines; Testudinidae. The record is from RefSeq and is a predicted model, not a curated record.